RNAcentral lists this ribosomal RNA (255 nucleotides) under uncultured bacterium. RNAcentral describes it as "partial 16S ribosomal RNA". It matches the Rfam family "Bacterial small subunit ribosomal RNA", at positions 524 to 776 of the family's 1533-position model. The record is from RNAcentral.
UACGGAGGGUGCGAGCGUUAUCCGGAAUCACUGGGCGUAAAGGGUGCGUAGGCGGGUCUUUUAAGUCAGGGGGUGAAAUCCUGGAGCUCAACUCCAGAACUGCCUUUGAUACUGAAGAUCUUGAGUUCGGGAGAGGUGAGUGGAACUGCGAGUGUAGAGGUGAAAUUCGUAGAUAUUCGCAAGAACACCAGUGGCGAAGGCGACACACUGGCCCGUUACUGACGCUGAGGCGCGAAAGCGUGGGGAGCAAACAGG